GGGGGUAAAAUGGCUGAGGCAAAAAGCGAUAAAUUGUAAAUUUAUUAACGAGAAAUUCUCUUUUACUA
Molecule: transfer RNA, 68 nt
Filed under: Paroeneis palaearcticus
Lineage: Eukaryota; Metazoa; Arthropoda; Insecta; Lepidoptera; Nymphalidae
Description: tRNA-Tyr
Rfam family: tRNA
About the family: Transfer RNA (tRNA) molecules are approximately 80 nucleotides in length. Their secondary structure includes four short double-helical elements and three loops (D, anti-codon, and T loops).
Source: RNAcentral